Molecule: ribosomal RNA, 468 nt
Filed under: uncultured bacterium
Lineage: Bacteria
Description: partial 16S ribosomal RNA
Rfam family: Bacterial small subunit ribosomal RNA
Source: RNAcentral
GACGAACGCUGGCGGCGUGCUUAACACAUGCAAGUCGAACGGAAAGGCCCUGCUUUUGUGGGGUGCUCGCGUGGCGAACGGGUGAGUAACACGUGAGUAACCUGCCCUUGACUUUGGGAUAACUUCAGGAAACUGGGGCUAAUACCGGAUAGGAGCUCCUGCUGCAUGGUGGGGGUUGGAAAGUUUCGGCGGUUGGGGAUGGACUCGCGGCUUAUCAGCUUGUUGGUGGGGUAGUGGCUUACCAAGGCUUUGACGGGUAGCCGGCCUGAGAGGGUGACCGGCCACAAUGGGACUGAGAGACGGCCCAGACUCCUACGGGAGGCAGCAGUGGGGAAUAUUGCACAAUGGGCGGAAGCCUGAUGCAGCAACGCCGCGUGCGGGAUGACGGCCUUCGGGUUGUAAACCGCUUUCGCCUGUGACGAAGCGUGAGUGACGGUAAUGGGUAAAGAAGCACCGGCUAACUACGUG